CCCUUAGAUGUCCUGGGCCGCACGCGCGUUACACUGAUGCACUCAACGAGUAUAUAACCUUGGCCGAGAGGCCUGGGCAAUCUUUGAACAUCGAUCGUGAUCGGGAUAGAUUCUUGUAAUUUUUGAUCUUAAACGAGGAAUUCCUAGUAAACGCAAGUCAUCAGCUUGCAUUGAUUACGUCCCUGCCCUUUGUACACACCGCCCGUCGCACCUACCGAUUGAAUGGUCCGGUGAAAUCUCCGGACUGGCGUGAGUCGGAGCAAUCUGACAAACGCCGGAAAGUUGAUUAAACCUUACCAUUUAGAGGAAGGUGAAGUCGUAACA
This 324-nucleotide ribosomal RNA is filed under the name uncultured eukaryote. Its description in RNAcentral is "partial 18S ribosomal RNA". It matches the Rfam family "Eukaryotic small subunit ribosomal RNA", at positions 1470 to 1796 of the family's 1831-position model. The record is from RNAcentral.